GCAGUAAGGAAUAUUGGUCAAUGGAGGCAACUCUGAACCAGCCAUGCCGCGUGCAGGAAGACGGCCCUAUGGGUUGUAAACUGCUUUUAUCCGGGAAUAAACCUUUCUACGUGUAGAGAGCUGAAUGUACCGGAAGAAUAAGGAUCGGCUAACUCCGUGCCAGCAGCCGCGGUAAUACGGAGGAUCCAAGCGUUAUCCGGAUUUAUUGGGUUUAAAGGGUGCGUAGGCGGCCUGUUAAGUCAGAGGUGAAAGACGGUAGCUCAACUAUCGCAGUGCCUUUGAUACUGACGGGCUUGAAUAAACUAGAGGUAGGCGGAAUGAGACAAGUAGCGGUGAAAUGCAUAGAUAUGUCUCAGAACACCGAUUGCGAAGGCAGCUUACUAUGGUUUUAUUGACGCUGAGGCACGAAAGCGUGGGGAUCAAACAGGAUUAGA
RNAcentral lists this ribosomal RNA (434 nucleotides) under uncultured bacterium. Its description in RNAcentral is "bacterial SSU rRNA". It matches the Rfam family "Bacterial small subunit ribosomal RNA", at positions 351 to 782 of the family's 1533-position model. The record is from RNAcentral.